ACUCUACAAGUCCAGAAUACUCACUUUGAGGAACGAUAUUUGGGACUGCCAACGCCUACUGGACGCAUGUCUAAAGGGCGCUUCCAAAGCCUACAUGAACAACUUACUAAGAGAAUUUUGUUCUGGGGAGAAGGUGCAUCACAAGGAGGGAAAGAAAUUCUUAUUAAGGCCAUUGCUCGGGCCUUGCCCACAUACUUGAUGAGUGUGUUCCGUCUUCCACGCAGUGUAUGUGACGACCUCACUCGCAUGGUCAGAAACUUUUGGUGGGGAGCGAAAAAAGGAAGAAGGAAGACACACUGA
Molecule: ribosomal RNA, 300 nt
Filed under: Triticum aestivum (bread wheat)
Lineage: Eukaryota; Viridiplantae; Streptophyta; Magnoliopsida; Poales; Poaceae
Description: partial small subunit ribosomal RNA
Source: RNAcentral